RNAcentral lists this long non-coding RNA (374 nucleotides) under Lathyrus oleraceus (garden pea). RNAcentral's name for it is "Pisum sativum (pea) long non-coding RNA (PSAT_LNC000081)". The record is from RNAcentral. Lineage: Eukaryota; Viridiplantae; Streptophyta; Magnoliopsida; Fabales; Fabaceae.
UCCAGAAAUCCUCAAGCUCAUGUUGUUUACUGUUAUGUCAUAAUGAAUGUUGCUGCGGCUGUUAUGAUGAUGUGCUGCUGUUAAACCAUUUGCCUUUUCCAGAUUUUUUCCCAAUGCCAUGUUAUUGUGUGAUGUUGCUUGAAGUUCAUUUUUAUGAUGAUGAACUCAUACCUUUCCCAUAUUGUCUUGUUGGUUGCUGUUGUUCUAUGCUGCAUGAAUACCACAUUUGUGUUACCAUGUUGGUCUGUGUGAUUUUGCUUGAGGUUUGUUGGCCAUGAUAAUCAAUUGAAGAUGAGCAUUUUGAGCUGCCCUGCUGUAUGUUAAACACUAGGGUUUCUAAAAAUCAGAAAAUAUGAAGUUUCUUUGGUGUUUAC